Molecule: ribosomal RNA, 253 nt
Filed under: uncultured bacterium
Lineage: Bacteria
Description: partial 16S ribosomal RNA
Rfam family: Bacterial small subunit ribosomal RNA
Source: RNAcentral
UACGUAGGGAGCAAGCGUUGUUCGGAGUUACUGGGCGUAAAGGGUGUGUAGGCGGUUUUUUAAGUUUGGUGUGAAAUCUCCCGGCUCAACUGGGAGGGUGCGCCGAAUACUGAAUGACUAGAGUGCGGGAGAGGAAAGUGGAAUUCCUGGUGUAGCGGUGAAAUGCGUAGAUAUCAGGAGGAACACCGGUGGUGUAGACGGCUUUCUGGACCGUAACUGACGCUGAGACACGAAAGCGUGGGUAGCAAACAGG